AGGGUGUAAACGCUGCAGACUUGGUGUUGGGGGCCCUUUGGGGGCAUUCAGUGCCGGAGAGAAGUUGUUAAGUCUGCUACUUGGGGAGUACGUCCGCAAGGAUGAAACUUAAAGGAAUUGGCGGGGGGAGCACCGCAACGGGAGGAGCGUGCGGUUUAAUUGGAUUCAACACCGUAAAACUCACCAGGGAAGACUGUUACAUGAAGGCCGAGAUGAAGACUCUGCUAGAUUUUCAGAGAGGUGGUGCAUGGCGUCAGUGACU
Molecule: ribosomal RNA, 262 nt
Filed under: uncultured archaeon
Lineage: Archaea
Description: partial 16S ribosomal RNA
Rfam family: Archaeal small subunit ribosomal RNA
Source: RNAcentral